CCCGAAGUAAGUAACUGCUGAACGGACCAGCUGACAGAUGGGAAAUCCUUGCACGGAGCUAUGACAAGGGGAAGUCUGUGGGAAAAGGUUACAAUUAGCUCAGGGGAGAAAGAUAUUAUUUGCUGGACCUCAUCGAAUUCCAAAACAAGUGGUGAAUAUGUGACAAGACGAAAUUCUGGCAAGAGGAAGGGCGCUCCUGACAGAUGUGUGUUCCUGCAGCCCCCUGCAUAUGUGGAGAGCCCCAAGGGCGAGGCUUCCGCUAGAACUGUCAGGAAGAGUCAACAAGAACCCAAAGAAAUGUCCUCAUCCCAGAACCCAGAGGUGAAGCCAGAACUGGAAAGUUCUGCCAUUAUUCCAGUUUGCAUCUGGACAUUCAUGUUAUGCAGAAGGCAUUUGAGAAUAUUGCUCUGGUGGCACUGAUUAGACACUAAGGAUUUCAGGUGUGUGGGGCCAAAGAAGGACAUAGAAAGGGAUCAGAAAUGUCUCUUUCAAUAGCUCUAUAUUUUUCAGUUUAUUAAAACAGUA
Molecule: long non-coding RNA, 525 nt
Filed under: Vulpes vulpes (red fox)
Lineage: Eukaryota; Metazoa; Chordata; Mammalia; Carnivora; Canidae
Description: lncRNA (ENSVVUG00000015080.1)
Source: RNAcentral